RNAcentral lists this microRNA precursor (100 nucleotides) under Gorilla gorilla gorilla (western lowland gorilla). RNAcentral's name for it is "miRNA (ENSGGOG00000043187.1)". Lineage: Eukaryota; Metazoa; Chordata; Mammalia; Primates; Hominidae. The record is from RNAcentral.
CAGAGUCUCCUUCAUGUACAGGGAAGAGAUUGUACGUGAGAGACAGUCAGAUCCGCGUGUUAGAGCAGAUUCUCCUUCGUGUACAGGGAGGAGAUUGUAC